This 253-nucleotide ribosomal RNA is filed under the name uncultured bacterium. RNAcentral's name for it is "partial 16S ribosomal RNA". It matches the Rfam family "Bacterial small subunit ribosomal RNA", at positions 524 to 776 of the family's 1533-position model. The record is from RNAcentral.
UACGUAGGGGGCAAGCGGUAUCCGGAUUUACUGGGUGUAAAGGGAGCGUAGACGGUGAUGUAAGUCAGAUGUGAAAGCCCAGGGCUCAACCCUGGGACUGCAUUUGAAACUAUGUCACUAGAGUGCAGGAGAGGUAAGUGGAAUUCCUAGUGUAGCGGUGAAAUGCGUAGAUAUUAGGAGGAACACCAGUGGCGAAGGCGGCUUACUGGACUGUAACUGACGUUGAGGCUCGAAAGCGUGGGGAGCAAACAGG